UACGUAGGUGGCGAGCGUUGUCCGGAUUUACUGGGCGUAAAGGGCGUGCAGGCGGUUUGUUAAGUGCAGAGUGAAAGCUCCCGGCUCAACUGGGAGAGGUCUUUGCAUACUGGCAAACUCGAGGGAGGCAGAGGAAAGUGGAAUUCCCGGUGUAGUGGUGAUAUGCGUAGAUAUCGGGAGGAACACCUGUGGCGAAGGCGGCUUUCUGGGCCUUACCUGACGCUGAGGCGCGAAGGCUAGGGGAGCAAACGGG
RNAcentral lists this ribosomal RNA (253 nucleotides) under uncultured bacterium. Its description in RNAcentral is "partial 16S ribosomal RNA". It matches the Rfam family "Bacterial small subunit ribosomal RNA", at positions 524 to 776 of the family's 1533-position model. The record is from RNAcentral.